Molecule: unclassified non-coding RNA, 404 nt
Filed under: soil metagenome
Description: partial contains 5.8S ribosomal RNA, internal transcribed spacer 2, and large subunit ribosomal RNA
Rfam family: 5.8S ribosomal RNA (bases 1-122)
Source: RNAcentral
GAUGAAGAACGCAGCAAAAUGCGAUACUUGGUGUGAAUUGCAGAAUCCCGUGAACCAUCGAGUUUUUGAACGCAAGUUGCGCCCGAAGCCUUUUGGCCGAGGGCACGUCUGCCUGGGCGUCACGCAUCGCGUCGCCCCCCACAAUUAUCCGUAAAGGGAACAUGUGUUUUGGGGGCGGAUAUUGGUCUCCCGUGCUCAUGGCGUGGUUGGCCGAAAUAGGAGUCCUUUCGAUGGACGCACGAACUAGUGGUGGUCGUAAAAACCCUCGUCUUUUGUUUCGUGCUGUUGCUCGCAAGGUAAACUCUUUAAAAACCCCAAUGUGUCGUCUCUUGACGACGCUUCGACCGCGACCCCAGGUCAGGCGGGACUACCCGCUGAGUUUAAGCAUAUCAAUAAGCGGAGGA